UCUUAGGCUUUGUUAGCACCUAGCUUCCAUGCAAGGGAAAGGAAAAUGAAACCCAGGAUGAUCAGGUUUCCAAUCAAGAACUGUUCAUUUGUCAGGGCAAUUGGUCAAAGGAAGCAGUGGAAUGAUACAAGAACCACAGGGGCCUUGUACAACAGUUCAUCGUUUCUGGAUCUCUUUCAAUCGAAGCUGAGAAGAACCGCCACCUCCAGCUGGUGAACAGCAGCCUGGAAAUGAACAUUAUCAGUUCCAUCUUCUCAUUGAUUGGGAUCAUUCUUUUCUUAGUAGAGCUGAGUUCUAGUUUAUUCACCACCAAUCCUGUACAAAAGGCUGUCUGGACGGGUAUGGCAAUUAUGCUGUUCCUUUUUGCUGCAACGGAGUUCUCUAUCGCAGUCUCAGUCUCACAUGUCGGAUGUCAGGCAACCUGCUGUGGACUGCAAAAUGCUUCUGUGUUUUUUGUGCCAUAUCGUGUCAACACAGAUGUUGGAGCUCCAUCUGCAGCAGCAUCCUCAACUCAAGUUUAUAUCAAUGCAGCUGCCAAUCCCUGAGCUGAGACUGAGUUGGGGGAGCUAAAUUAACUUUAUUGCACCUGCACCAGCAGCAGAUGCUCUAAGGAGUAAAUCCCUGCCCUGCAUGAUCCACUUUUAUUCCAUUUCAUGAAUGCACUUCCAGCACCCAAGGCUUCACUGAUUACCAAGGGACUAUAUUCUUCUCUUUCUUUAUCAUUUACUGAUUCUACACUGUAUUAAAUGACAUGGGGAGUUGAUAGAGCUACUCCAUCGAGAAACAGGCUUCUCUCCUGGUCAUUUCCUUUACUGGCUUCUUCAAUAAAGAGAUUGAAAAAGGA
Alligator mississippiensis (American alligator) is the source of this 844-nucleotide RNA transcript. RefSeq lists it as uncharacterized. The transcript has 5 exons. The record is from RefSeq and is a predicted model, not a curated record. Lineage: Eukaryota; Metazoa; Chordata; Crocodylia; Alligatoridae.